Molecule: ribosomal RNA, 435 nt
Filed under: uncultured bacterium
Lineage: Bacteria
Description: partial 16S ribosomal RNA
Rfam family: Bacterial small subunit ribosomal RNA
Source: RNAcentral
AGCGAACGCUGGCGGCAGGCUUAACACAUGCAAGUCGAACGCGUGCAGCAAUGCACGAGUGGCGCACGGGUGAGUAACGAGUGGAUAUCUGCCUUUUGGUUCGGAAUAACCCCGGGAAACUGGGGCUAAUACCGGAUGGUUCCUACGGGAUAAAGAUUUAUCGCCAAAAGAUGAGUCCGCGUCCGAUUAGCUAGUUGGUGAGGUAAUGGCUCACCAAGGCGACGAUCGGUAGCUGGUCUGAGAGGACGAUCAGCCACACUGGGACUGAGACACGGCCCAGACUCCUACGGGAGGCAGCAGUGGGGAAUAUUGGACAAUGGGGGCAACCCUGAUCCAGCCAUGCCGCGUGAGUGAUGAAGGCCUUCGGGUUGUAAAGCUCUUUUGGCGGGGACGAUGACGACGGUACCCGCAGAAUAAGCCCCGGCUAACUUCGUG